This is a non-coding RNA of Pelobates cultripes (western spadefoot toad), 1346 nucleotides long. Lineage: Eukaryota; Metazoa; Chordata; Amphibia; Anura; Pelobatidae. The record is from the annotation of a GenBank genome assembly.
AUCAGACUUUCUCUCAGGCUACUGAACAAGAGGUGUCUGCGCUUCUCCUUUCCUCUCGACCCACCACUUGCCCACUUGAUCCUGUCCCAUCUCACCUUAUCAGUUCUCUCUCCUCGUCUUGUGCCUUCCUUAACACACAUCUUCAACUGCUCUCUCUCUUCAGGUGUUGUCCCUGCUGUUCCAACUCUCUCCUUGACCCUCUUCCGUCUGGCUUCUGCCCUCUCCACUCCACUGAGACUGCUCUUGUUAAAGUCAUUAACAACCUAAUCGCAGCUAAAUCCAAAGGGCACUACUGUAUACUAAUUCUUCUUGACCUCUCUGCUGCCUUUGACAUGGUUGACUAUGUUCUCCUUCUCCAAACACUUCACUCGGUCUCUGUGACACUGUCCUCUCUCGGUUUUCCUCCUAUCUCUCCCAAUGCUCAUUAAGUGUCUCUUUUUUUUUUUAUUUUAAAUGAUACCUCCUCUCUUUGUCCUGUCUAUGUUGGAGUCCCCCAAGGCUCUGUACUUGGGCCCCAUCUAUUUUCUCUUUAUACUGCCUCUCUUGGCAAACUUAUUACCCCAUUUGGAUUCCAAUACCACCUGUAUGCUGAUGACACUCAGAUAUACCUCUCCUCCCCGGAGCUUGCCUUUCUUCCAUCUCUGAUCGGAUAUCCUCCCGCUUUUUAAAACGCAAUCUCUCUAAAACUGAGCUCCUUGUCUUUCCUUCUCCGAAUACUGAUCCCCCUUUCUCUCUCUCCCUUCAAGUUAGUGGUACCCACAUCAGUCCAUCCUUGUUUUAGUUUAAAUAUUCAGGCAUAUGGCUACCUAACCACUUGGACGGACUUGUAUCAUCCAUACGAUCUCCCUGUAAUACCCCCUCCCAUCCCCGUCUCUUUCUUCUCUUUUCUACUCACGGUACUAUCCGCUUUAUCUUUUCACUCUUCUUUUUUACUAAAAAUUAUCACAUUUUUAUCUCUGACUGACAUCUAAAUAAUAGACCAUUACAUUAUCUAACAUCUUCUAAACUGGGGCGAUUCGAGGGGCGCUUAUAGGGGUCUUAAGAACAUAAUGGGAACGCCACAGUAGCUAUCGUCUACAUUAGGUUGGAGUCCGCUGACUUAGACUGCUUUUCAACGCAUUCUUUCGGUCAUUGAUGAUAGGGGACGUAAAAUCUUAGUAUGUGUUUAAUAGUCAGUCAGGAGUUUUUGAUAUACCUUAAAUCAAAAUGGGUAGGACGCCACGGUUUAUGGACUUUCAGAGUCAACAAGCAACAGUUAGAUACAAUGUUUAAGCUGUUUAAUGACUGUUUUCUAGAUUUGCGUAAAUGUUUGCUUCUAACUAAUACUGACAUGUGUUAAUGCUAAU